Molecule: ribosomal RNA, 163 nt
Filed under: Exacum dolichantherum
Lineage: Eukaryota; Viridiplantae; Streptophyta; Magnoliopsida; Gentianales; Gentianaceae
Also listed under: 4 other names
Description: 5.8S ribosomal RNA
Rfam family: 5.8S ribosomal RNA
About the family: 5.8S ribosomal RNA (5.8S rRNA) is a component of the large subunit of the eukaryotic ribosome. It is transcribed by RNA polymerase I as part of the 45S precursor that also contains 18S and 28S rRNA.
Source: RNAcentral
AAAACGACUCUCGGCAACGGAUAUCUCGGCUCUCGCAUCGAUGAAGAACGUAGCAAACUGCGAUACUUGGUGUGAAUUGCAGAAUCCCGUGAAUCAUCGAGUCUUUGAACGCAAGUUGCGCCCGAAGCCGUCAGGCCGAGGGCACGUCUGCCUGGGCGUCACG